This 253-nucleotide ribosomal RNA is filed under the name uncultured bacterium. Its description in RNAcentral is "partial 16S ribosomal RNA". It matches the Rfam family "Bacterial small subunit ribosomal RNA", at positions 524 to 776 of the family's 1533-position model. The record is from RNAcentral.
UACAGAGGGGGCAAGCGUUGUUCGGAAUUACUGGGCGUAAAGGGCGCGUAGGCGGCCUUCUAAGUCGGACGUGAAAUCCCCGGGCUCAACCCGGGAACUGCGUCCGAUACUGGAAGGCUUGAAUUCGGGAGAGGGAUGCAGAAUUCCUGGUGUAGCGGUGAAAUGCGCAGAUAUCAGGAGGAACACCGAUGGCGAAGGCAGGUCUCUGGGCAUUAACUGACGCUGAGGAGCGAAAGCAUGGGGAGCGAACAGG